GCCGGGAAGGGGCAUGUUUGGUGCCAAGUGGAACUGCUGAAUGAGGAGCCUGGGGAGGAGGGAGAAAAGCAGAGAAAUUGGGGCCAGAAACUGAUCCAGAAGCAGAACCGACCCAAACACAGAGACUGAGGAGCUGCACCUGAAAGGGAAGA
Xenopus tropicalis (tropical clawed frog) is the source of this 152-nucleotide long non-coding RNA. RefSeq lists it as uncharacterized. NCBI's taxonomy places the organism in Eukaryota, Metazoa, Chordata, Amphibia, Anura, Pipidae. The record is from RefSeq and is a predicted model, not a curated record. The transcript is spliced from 3 exons.